UGGCGCCCGCUAGUAUUCUGGCGGGCAUGCCUGUCUGAGCGUCGUUUCGACCCUCGCCCCCGGCGUCUGUCGGGGGCGGUGUUGGGGACCGGCCACCACCCUUCACUGGGCGGCCGCCCCCUAAAUUCAGUGGCGACCACGCUGUAGCCUCCCCUGCGUAGUACUAAAACCACCUCGCAGGCGGAGAGCGGUGCGGCCCGCCGUAAAACCCCCCCAACUUUUACAAGGUCGACCUCAGAUCAGGUAGGGAUACCCGCUGAACUUAAGCAUAUCAAUAAGCGGAGGAAAAGAAACCAACAGGGAUUGCCUCAGUAACGGCGAGUGAAGCGGCAAAAGCUCAAAUUUGAAAUCUGGCCUCUGGCCCGAGUUGUAAUUUGCAGAGGAUGUUUCUGGCGAGGUGCCUUCCGAGUUCCCUGGAACGGGACGCCAUAGAGGGUGAGAGCCCCGUACGGUUGGUCGCUAAGCCUCUGUGAAACUCCUUCGACGAGUCGAGUAGUUUGGGAAUGCUGCUCUAAAUUGGAGGUGUACGCCUUCUAAAGCUAAAUACAGGCUAGAGACCGAUAGCGCACA
RNAcentral lists this ribosomal RNA (570 nucleotides) under Hypocreales sp. PSU-ES209. Its description in RNAcentral is "eukaryotic LSU rRNA". The stretch from base 230 to 570 matches the Rfam family "Eukaryotic large subunit ribosomal RNA", at positions 1 to 346 of the family's 3401-position model. The record is from RNAcentral. Lineage: Eukaryota; Fungi; Ascomycota; Sordariomycetes; Hypocreales.